GCACGUCGCGUGGUGUCCGG
RNAcentral lists this small nuclear RNA (20 nucleotides) under Arabidopsis thaliana (thale cress). Its description in RNAcentral is "snRNA_16641". The record is from RNAcentral. Lineage: Eukaryota; Viridiplantae; Streptophyta; Magnoliopsida; Brassicales; Brassicaceae.